CGCAUUGUGUAGAUGCCCAGGCAGUCAGAGGCAAUGAAGAGCGUGCUAAUCUGCAAAAAGCGCCGGUAAGAUAAUACGAACCGUUAUAGCCAGAAAUACCCGAUAUAGCCAGAAAUACCCGAACUGGGAAACCCAGCGUAAUACGCCACACUAUCGUUAAGUGAAUACAUAGCCUGACAAGUCAGACCGGAAAAACUGAAACAUCUAAGUACCCCGAAGAAAAGAAAUCAACCGAGAUCCACCCAGUAGCGGCGAGCGAACGGGGGCCUGCCCAGAAUCCGAAUUAGCAGGUGUGCUGGUGAAAGCGCCUAGAAAGUCGCGCAGUAAAGGGUAAUACCCCCGUACACAAAAAUGCACUGGCCGUGAGUUCGAUGAGCAGGGCAAGACACGUUACAUCCUGUCCAAAUACGGGGAGGCCAUCCUGCAAGGCUAGAUACUUCUAACUGACCGAUUUAGUGAAGCAGUAGCGUAAGGGAAAGGCGAAAAAACCCCGACAAAAACAGUAAAAAAGAACCCGAAACCGUGUGCGUACAAGCCGUGGAAGCACCGUUGAGGUGUGACUGCGCACCUUUUGUAUAAUGGGUCAGCAACUUUAUUUCGUAGCAAGGCCAACCGCAUAGUAGCGCCUCAUGAAUUCAUCUUCGAGGGCCGAGCACUGUUUCGGCUAGGGGGCCAUCCCGGCUUACCAACCCGAUGCAAACUGCGAAUGCCUAAGCAUGCUAUCACGGGAGACACACGGCGGGUGCUAACGUCGGUCGUGAAGAGAGAGACAACCUAGACCGCCAGCUAAGGUCCCAAAGUCAUGGCUAAGUAGGAAACGAUGCGGGAAAGCCCAGACAGCCAAGAUGUCGGCUUAGAAGCAGCCAUCAUUGAAAAGGUGAAUUCUAUAUCGGAGAGAGCUGAAGCCAGUCGCAGAGAGCAGCCGGCCGCAACUGUUUAAUAAAAACACAGCACCGUGCCAACACGAAAGUAGACGUAUACAGUGUGACGCCCGCCCGGUGCUGGAAAGUUAAUUAUUGAUGGGGUUAGCUGCAAGGCAAAGCUCCUGAUCGAAACCCCAAUAAACGGCGGCCGUAACUAUAACAGUCAUAAGGUAGCGAAAUUCCUUGCCGGGUAAGCUCCUACCUUCACGAAUGGCGUAAUGAUGGCCAGGCUGCCUCCACCCGAGACUCAGUGAAAUUAAACUCGCUGUGAAAAUGCAGUGUAUCCGCGGCAAGACAGAAAGACCCCGUAAACCUUUACUAUAGCUUGAUACCAAACACAGAGCCUUGAUGUAUAGGAUAGGUGGGAGGCAGUAAAUCGUGGACGCCAGUCUGCGAGAAGCCACCCUUGAAAUACCACCCUUUAAUGUUUGAUUUUCUAACUUCGCCCCGCGAUCGGGGCGAGGACAGCGUCUGGCGCGCAGUCUGACUAGGGCGGUCUCCUCCCAAAGAGUAACGCAGAAGCACGAAGGUCAGCUAAUCACGGUCGGACAUCGUGAAUUUAGUGCAAAGGCAUAAGCUAGAGUGAAGGCUCGAGCAGGUACGAAAGUAGGUCUUAGUGAUCCGGUGGUUCUGAAUAAAUCAGAGCCACCGCUCAACAGAUAGAUAAAAGGUACUCCGGAGAUAACAGGCUGAUACCGACCAAGAGUUCAUAUCGACUGCGGUGUUUGGUACCUCGAUGUCAGCUCAUCACAUCCUGGGGCUGAAGUAAAUCCCAAGAAUAUAGCCGUUCGCCAUUUAAAGUGGUACGCAAGCCGGGUUUAGAGCGUCGUGAGACAGUUUGGCCCGCAUCUGCCGUGGGCGCAGGAAGAUUGAGAGGGAUUGCUCCUAGUACGAGAGGACCGGAGUGAGGGCACCGCUGGUAUUCGGGCUGUCAUGACAAUGGCACUGCCCGGCAGCUAAGUGCGGAACAGAUAAGCGCUAAAAACAUCUAAGCGCGAAACAGGCCUCGAGAUGAGUCUCCCACGGGUCUGAGAGGCCCCUAAAGGCACGUUUAAGACGAAGACCCGGAUAGGCCAGGUGUGUAAAAGCAGCGAUGCUUUGAGCCAACCAGUACUAAUGAGCCGCGAGGCUUAACCUUACAAGACCGA
Molecule: ribosomal RNA, 2071 nt
Filed under: Serratia symbiotica
Lineage: Bacteria; Pseudomonadati; Pseudomonadota; Gammaproteobacteria; Enterobacterales; Yersiniaceae
Description: 23S ribosomal RNA
Rfam family: Bacterial large subunit ribosomal RNA
Source: RNAcentral